GAAACAGUGGAUAUCUGAAAUUUUUUAUAUAUAAUAAUUUGAUAAAAUAUUAACGAAAAAAUUAAUAAAAAUAAAUAAAAUAAAAUUACAGUAUACUAAAUUGAUAAAGUUUAAAUCACAAGGCACUAAAAUGAGGAAGUGCAAAAUUACAAGAGUGGUAUUUAAAGUUUUUUCUAAAUUCUACAACUAAUAACCGAGCUUAAAAUUUUUGGACCAGUAUUUUGGGCUCAACAAAUUACUACGGUAUAUAUUCGAUUUGCCAGUCGGGAGUGUAAGAUGGUUCUCGGAUUGCUUUGACAAUUUUGAAGCAGAGCCAGAGAAUAAGACAUGAUAUUUAUAACAUUCCAAUAAUCACACAUCAGAUAAAAAAAAAAAAUUCUAAUUAAAAAUAUAA
This 394-nucleotide long non-coding RNA is filed under the name Ananas comosus (pineapple). Its description in RNAcentral is "long non-coding RNA (ACOM_LNC005943)". Lineage: Eukaryota; Viridiplantae; Streptophyta; Magnoliopsida; Poales; Bromeliaceae. The record is from RNAcentral.